UACGGGGGGGGCAAGCGUUGUUCGGAAUUACUGGGCGUAAAGGGCUCGUAGGCGGCCAACUAAGUCGGAUGUGAAAUCCCCAGGCUUAACCUGGGAACUGCAUCCGAUACUGGAUGGCUUGAAUCCGGGAGAGGGAUGCAGAAUUCCAGGUGUAGCGGUGAAAUGCGUAGAUAUCUGGAGGAAUACCGGUGGCGAAGGCGGUCACCUGGACGGAUACUGACGCUGAGACGCGAAAGCGUGGGGAGCAAACAGG
Molecule: ribosomal RNA, 253 nt
Filed under: uncultured bacterium
Lineage: Bacteria
Description: partial 16S ribosomal RNA
Rfam family: Bacterial small subunit ribosomal RNA
Source: RNAcentral